UACGGAAGGUGCAAGCGUUAAUCGGAAUUACCGGGCGUAAAGCGCGCGUAGGCGGCUUCGUAAGUCGGGUGUGAAAGCCCCGGGCUCAACCUGGGAACGGCACUCGAUACUGCGGAGCUCGAGUACGAGAGAGGGGGGUGGAAUUCCAGGUGUAGCGGUGAAAUGCGUAGAGAUCUGGAGGAACACCGGUGGCGAAGGCGGCCCCCUGGUUCGAUACUGACGCUGAGGUGCGAAAGCGUGGGGAGCAAACAGG
This 253-nucleotide ribosomal RNA is filed under the name uncultured bacterium. RNAcentral's name for it is "partial 16S ribosomal RNA". It matches the Rfam family "Bacterial small subunit ribosomal RNA", at positions 524 to 776 of the family's 1533-position model. The record is from RNAcentral.